Molecule: long non-coding RNA, 508 nt
Organism: Myotis daubentonii (Daubenton's bat)
Lineage: Eukaryota; Metazoa; Chordata; Mammalia; Chiroptera; Vespertilionidae
Exons: 2
Source: RefSeq, a predicted model, not a curated record
CUUGGUGAUAUUUUUAACUAUAUAUUUUAGAGCAGUACCAUCCAAUAGAAAUAUAAUAUGAGCCACAUAUGUAAUUUAAAGUUUUCCAAUAGUCAUAUUAGCCACAGUCAAAAGAAAUAGGUGAAGUUAAUUUUAACAACAUAUUUUAUUUAACCCAGCCUAUACAAAAUAUUAUCAUUUCAGCCUGAAAUAAGUAUACAGAUUGUUAAGAUCUUUUACAUUCUGUUUUUCAUAGUGAGCCUUCAAAAUUUAAUACGUGUUACACUUACAAUACGUUUCUGUUGAGACUAGCCCUGUUACAAGUGCUCAGGAAGCCAGUCUUCGCCAGGCGUGGCUCCCGAAUUGGACAGCACCGUAGCAGAUCUAUUGAAAAUUUAAUUUUAAUCUCUAUCAGCCUUUUUGGGGUAAUUAUGGCUUUUUCAUCAUAGCUUAUUCUGCAUUCGUAAUUGUAUGACGAGUCUCUCUUGUUUGUCUACCUUUGCCUGAAUUAUCUCCUUAUGGGGCUGUA